RNAcentral lists this unclassified non-coding RNA (243 nucleotides) under Hevea brasiliensis (rubber tree). The record is from RNAcentral. Lineage: Eukaryota; Viridiplantae; Streptophyta; Magnoliopsida; Malpighiales; Euphorbiaceae.
AGAUUGAUUUGGUAGAUCAAUCAAUACAGAAUUUGCAAGUCUAUAAAGAUUAAGGUCUCUUUCUCUGUUUCGUGUUCGUGAUAUUAAUAUGAUCGUUGCAUGGACAUUGGAAAGGGAAAGGGCGGUUGAACUUUUAGAUUAUAGAAUGGAUUAUGCUUCUGAGUAAUGCCAAAUUUAGUACUUUUAUGUUUCUUCCAAUUGUAAAUUUCAAGUAAACAUUGAUACAACAUUCUUUACUUUUUG